CCCUUAGAUGUUCUGGGCCGCACGCGUGCUACACUGAGUGGAUCAGCGGGUCAGGUUACGCGAGAGCGUUUCCUAAUCUUCAAAUCCGCUCGUGAUGGGGAUUGACGGUUGCAAUUUUCCGUCAUGAACGAGGAAUACCUUGUAAGCGCGGGUCAUCAUCCCGCGCUGAAUACGUCCCUGCCCUUUGUACACACCGCCCGUCGCUCCUACCGAUUGAGUGGUCCGGUGAGGCUUUGGGAUCUAAGCGAAAAGAGCGUUUCGCUCCUUUUGCUGGGAGAACUCAGUCGAACCUUAUCACUUAGAGGAAGGAGAAGUCGUAACA
Molecule: ribosomal RNA, 322 nt
Filed under: uncultured eukaryote
Lineage: Eukaryota
Description: partial 18S ribosomal RNA
Rfam family: Eukaryotic small subunit ribosomal RNA
Source: RNAcentral